Molecule: long non-coding RNA, 591 nt
Organism: Oncorhynchus tshawytscha (Chinook salmon)
Lineage: Eukaryota; Metazoa; Chordata; Actinopteri; Salmoniformes; Salmonidae
Source: Ensembl
AGACCAUAUAGGGCGAGUGGUCGCAUGGUGUCUCCCGGAGAAAACCUUGCGUAAAAUACUGAGGUAGCCAUUUUUCCAAUAGUUUCUUAUGAGAAACCAACUGCCUCGACGGAUAUAUUAUCGAAUACAUAUGUUAAAAACACCUUGAGGAUGGAUCCUAAACAACGUUUGCCGUGUUUCUGUCGAUAUUAUGGAGUUAAUUUUGAAAAAAGUUUGGCGUUGUAAUGGUAGCAUUUUCCGGUCGAUUUCUCAGCCAAGCAUGAUGAACAAACGGGAGCUAUUUCGCCUACAAAAAUAAUAUUUUUGGAAAAAAGGAACAUUUGCUAUCUAACUGGGAGUCUCCUGAGUGAAAGCAUCCGAAGUUCUUUAAAGUGGCAGGGACUGGGAGACUAGUCGGGAUUGACGGAAAGAUGAACGGAGCAAAGUACAGAGAGAUCCUAGAGGAAAACCUGUUCCAGAGCACUGAGGACCUCAGACUGGGACGAAGGACGUGAACCAGAGUCCUCCACCUCUCCUCUGACAGGACGUGAACCAGAGUCCUCUACCUCUCCUCUGACAGGACGUGAACCAGAGUCCUCUACCUCUCCUCUG